RNAcentral lists this ribosomal RNA (551 nucleotides) under uncultured Acaulospora. RNAcentral's name for it is "SSU rRNA". It matches the Rfam family "Eukaryotic small subunit ribosomal RNA", at positions 548 to 1098 of the family's 1831-position model. Lineage: Eukaryota; Fungi; Glomeromycota; Glomeromycetes; Diversisporales; Acaulosporaceae. The record is from RNAcentral.
UUGGAGGGCAAGUCUGGUGCCAGCAGCCGCGGUAAUUCCAGCUCCAAUAGCGUAUAUUAAAGUUGUUGCAGUUAAAAAGCUCGUAGUUGAAUUUCGGGGUUUAUACGUUGGUCGGGCUUUUGGGUCUGUACUGGCGUAAUGAAUUCCUACCUUCUGAAUAACCAGCAUGUCAUUAAUUUGAUGCGCCGGGGAAGCAGGACUGUUACCUUGAAAAAAUUAGAGUGCUCAAAGCAGGCUAUUGCCUGAAUACAUUAGCAUGGAAUAAUGAAAUAGGACGGCAUGGUUCUAUUUUGUUGGUUUCUAGGAUCACCGUAAUGAUUAAUAGGGAUAGUUGGGGGCAUUAGUAUUCAAUUGUCAGAGGUGAAAUUCUUGGAUUUAUUGAAGACUAACUUCUGCGAAAGCAUUUGCCAAGGAUGUUUUCAUUAAUCAAGAACGAAAGUUAGGGGAUCGAAGACGAUCAGAUACCGUCGUAGUCUUAACCAUAAACUAUGCCGACUAGGGAUCGGACGAUGUUAAUUUUUUAAUGACUCGUUCGGCGCCUUACGGGAAAC